AUGGCGAGGAUCAUCAAUAUCAAGGCAAAUACCAUCGAUGCUGCGGCAGGAGAAAUACUUGGUAUUCUGGAUGGUAUUAGCAAACACGAAAGAAAUAUCUACUUUCAUGGCUGGUGUGGACUCGGGGCAUCUUCUGCUCUCAGAGUGGCAGCCCAACGCCUGAAAUCACUGGCUCCUAAAGGAAGGAAGUUUGACAAGGUUGUCCAUGUGGACUGCACAUUGUGGCAAAGCAUGAGAGCCUUGCAAAAGGCUGUUGCGGAGGAGCUAGAGUUUCCCCAGUCGAUGAUGGCCAUCUUUGAUCAGCAUGAUGAGGAGGAUGAUUUCAAUGGGAUACACCAAGGCUCCAGAGGGUUUAUAUUGGAUGUCAGAGAGGAGAUCUUCAGAAAGCUUGCUAGCAUUACAUUUGUGGUGUUUUUGCACAACGGGAACAACCGCGACAUUGAUUUGUAUGAGUUCGGUGUCCCUGUAACAACAUUUUUGAGUAACAAAGUGGUGUGGACCUGGGGUGGGGGUUUCCAUUUGCCCUAUGCAAGUCUGGGACGUCAAGUUAUAAACAAGAUUGAUGUUUUCCUAGUAAGUGAAGAAUGGCGCGAUCAUGCAUUGCAUGAAGAGGCCGCGAAGGUUGCCAAGUGCAUGGGCAUUCUUGAUCCCGAUAAGAUAGUUGAGUGCUUCCAGUAUGUAUGGGGACGAAGACUUAUCAACUGUAUCGACUGGGGGAUGCAUGCUUCAAACUAUUGGGUAUGUGACGGGAUUAUCCAA
This 759-nucleotide ribosomal RNA is filed under the name Triticum aestivum (bread wheat). RNAcentral describes it as "partial small subunit ribosomal RNA". Lineage: Eukaryota; Viridiplantae; Streptophyta; Magnoliopsida; Poales; Poaceae. The record is from RNAcentral.